This 455-nucleotide ribosomal RNA is filed under the name uncultured bacterium. RNAcentral describes it as "SSU rRNA". It matches the Rfam family "Bacterial small subunit ribosomal RNA", at positions 26 to 518 of the family's 1533-position model. The record is from RNAcentral.
AGAACGAACGCUGGCGGCAUGCCUAACACAUGCAAGUCGAACGUGAUCCAGGCUUCGGCCUGGUGAAAGUGGCAGACGGGUGAGUAACGCGUGGGAACCUGCCCUGUGGUAGGGAAUAACCGUGGGAAACUGCGGCUAAUACCCUAUGAGUCCUUCGGGAGAAAGAUUUAUCGCCAUAGGAGGGGCCCGCGUCGGAUUAGGUAGUUGGUGGGGUAACGGCCUACCAAGCCUUCGAUCCGUAGCUGGUCUGAGAGGAUGAUCAGCCACACUGGGACUGAGAUACGGCCCAGACUCCUACGGGAGGCAGCAGUGGGGAAUAUUGGACAAUGGGGGGCAACCCUGAUCCAGCAAUGCCGCGUGGAUGAUGAAGGCCUUCGGGUUGUAAAGUCCUUUCGGCGGGAAGAUGAUGACGGUACCGCAGAAGAAGCCCCGGCUAACUUCGUGCCAGCAGCCGC